UUCUGGAAUUAAGUAGUGAGAAGCUGUAAGCCAGAGCUCUGACAGAGUGGUACGGGGCAUUGCCUGUGGUAGCAGCAUUUCUCUGUCCAGGUACAGCUGUCAGAGGAGCAGAGAGCCUGUGAGAAGGGAACCAGGAAAAGAAACUGCUAAACUGUGAAGUCAGAAAAAGAACUGGGACCAAGAUGUUUGGAGACAAGUCUGGACUGCUGACAGUAGGCAGCAGGACAAACAGCUUGAAGAAAAGGAGCCUGGAUCCCAGGCUGGCUGUGCUGUCAGCCUUAGCACGCUUCUGGGAAGCUGGCUGGAGGCCUCCAGACCCAAGCUCUCCAAGACCCAGUUGUCAGCACCCCACAAGCAGCUCUGCAGCAUCAAGCAAAGGGAAGUCUGCCUCCUCCUGCCCCUGCCUGCCCUGGAAACUGUAUCCUCAGAGAUGCUCCAGAAACCUGAGCAACUGACAAAGUGGAGGACCAAGAGUUGUCCUGAGGAAACACUUGAGCGCUUUCAGGAGCAUUGAACAGAAGCGACUUGUCACCCCAGACAAGAGCAGGGAAAGUGGUGCAGGCAGAGCUGUUGGAGCUGCUGACAUCGCUCAGUGGGAGAAAACCAGAAGGAAAUCUCCAGCUGAAUGGAAGAGCCAACUUGUCCAGAAGAGGGGAGUAACAAUGGGUAUGCACAGAGCUGGAUGAAGGCCCCCUCUCGCUCUGCAGCGGGGAGAUGUACUUUCUCCCCCAUGUUUCCCUCCCCCUCUCCCCUGUGACACUGCAUUCUGUGGGAAAUCUUCACGGUGAUUUUGGUGGCUUAAAGUCAUCCACAGCGGCCUGAGCGACUGGUUCGCGCAUAUCAGCCACUUGACCCAAGGCUGGCUCUUCAAUUCAGUCCCUGCUUCAAGCUUGCUGACGUGGUCACCCAGACAGGAUCCUCCAUUUUGGGUGUGAUUGUUGGCUAGGGGUGAGGGCACUUUAGGGAUCUUGGAAUGAAAGUCUUAGCAAACGUGGUGAGAGGUGCCAAGGCAGGAAGCCGCCACCGAGAAUAGCACAGUGAACCUGGAGAAAAAUGUUCUUGUGACACCCUUUGAACCCUGUAUUCAUUAAUGUUCCAUCCCCUUUUGCCAAUUACCUCGGUCCAUAAAUCUGCCUCGAGUUUAAGCUGAUUAGGGCUCGUUUUCACAGCACUUAGAGUGCAAGUUCCCAUUUACCGGCUUUGUUCAAAGCCCCUGCUCUGCGUUUGCCUCUGACUCAAGCACCUCGCCCCUCACCCCACAAGUGCCCCGAGAUUGUCCUGACAGUGCCAUCAUGACAUCACACAAAACAGCAGAAAUUCCUUCAAUACGCACAGCAGUGGCCACGUGGCUUCCUCAGAGGGAGAGAGUUUGAGAACACUCCAUACCGUUUCCACUGCUGACUUCAUUCUCGGAGCAGAGCCCGGCUGCGGAUGCCUGAGUGACAGGCAAAGCCCAGCAGAACCCCACACCUGCCACCAUUGCCCAGAACUCCUACUAAGACUGCUUACACUGACUGCCGAGUUUAAGGGACAAAGAAAGUUUCACAAAUUUUG
This is a long non-coding RNA of Dipodomys ordii (Ord's kangaroo rat), 1554 nucleotides long. RefSeq lists it as uncharacterized. NCBI's taxonomy places the organism in Eukaryota, Metazoa, Chordata, Mammalia, Rodentia, Heteromyidae. The record is from RefSeq and is a predicted model, not a curated record. The transcript has 3 exons.